ACGGAAGGCAGCAGUGGGGAAUAUUGCACAAUGGGGGAAACCCUGAUGCAGCAACGCCGCGUGAAGGAAGAAGUAUUUCGGUAUGUAAACUUCUAUCAGCAGGGAAGAAGAAAGUGACGGUACCUGACUAAGAAGAACCGGCUAAAUACGUGCCAGCAGCCGCGGUAAUACGUAUGGUUCAAGCGUUAUCCGGAUUUACUGGGUGUAAAGGGUGAGUAGGCGGUUAUGCAAGUCAUAUGUGAAAUGUCGGGGCUCAACUCCGGCCUGCAUAAGAAACUGUAUAACUAGAGUGCAGGAGAGGCAAGCGGAAUUCCUAGUGUGGCGGUGAAAUGCGUAGAUAUUAGGAAGAACACCGGUGGCGAAGGCGGCUUGCUGGACUGUAACUGACGCUGAGUCACGAAAGCGUGGGGAGCAAACAGGAUUAGAUACCCUGGUA
Molecule: ribosomal RNA, 436 nt
Filed under: uncultured Defluviitaleaceae bacterium
Lineage: Bacteria; Bacillati; Bacillota; Clostridia; Lachnospirales; Defluviitaleaceae
Description: bacterial SSU rRNA
Rfam family: Bacterial small subunit ribosomal RNA
Source: RNAcentral